This is a long non-coding RNA of Acanthochromis polyacanthus (spiny chromis), 4341 nucleotides long. RefSeq lists it as uncharacterized. Lineage: Eukaryota; Metazoa; Chordata; Actinopteri; Pomacentridae. The record is from RefSeq and is a predicted model, not a curated record. The transcript has 2 exons.
GAGGAUGCGCUUCGGCAAGUGCGUCUGACGGAAGGGAAGUUGACACGAACACACGCAGUUCCCGCUCGUUUGUUUUGCAGAGAAGUGCAGCAGCGGAACAAGAAGCGCGACUGAGCUCAGAAUUCCUUUAUUACUGUGCUUAGUGUUGACAUUUACAUAACCAAAUCACAUGCAUUCCUGUCACCCAAAAACAAUCAGGCGUUUUGGUUACUUCAUACACUGAUAGCAGGUCUUCUGGAAAUGUUGACACAAUCUGCUGGGUCAAAAGUGUACAUACAGCUAAUAGAAUAGAAAAGAAUACUAUCAUUAACAAUAAUAAUUCUUUAUUUUACCAGGUAAGAUCAGAUGAGAAUAAUUUCUCAUUUAAAAUGAUGACCUGGCAAGAGGCCCCAGCAGGAAGAAAGAUAACAAAUAAACAAUACAUAAACAAAAAAGGACACACAAGUGUUUAAACAGAGAUGAAAACACCCUAAAUUAGUGCAAGUAGAACAGUCAGCAUGUGCAGCAGUCAGCUAGGCUCUGCUGCAGCUUCUGCUUAAACAUGUAAAGUGAUGGAAGAGAAGAUAGUUUAAGAGAUCUUUGGAGGGAAUGCCAAUCAAUUGUUGCAGCAAAGGGAAAUUCCAGCUAAAGACACUGUGGACCUUGGGGAUAGAGAAUGUUCUGAGAUCACUGGACCUCGGGUGGUAGUUGUUAUGGGAAGGGUGAAGGAGGUUGGAGAGGUAUUGAAGUAUCUUCCCUGAAAGGAUCUUGCAGAUGAGUAAAAGCCAGUGUUGUAGUAGCCUGGUGUAAAGGGAUCACCAGCUCAUCAGUUUGUAGAAUAAAAAAAGAAAACAAUUAAAGCGCCAACAACUCUGGAAAACGUUUAGCACCAAGAAAAAAACAAAAAUGAAAAACAGAGGCAAUGUACUUUGGACAUCUUCACCUCAUUCCGGCACUUUUGGUAGUCAUCCACAAGCUUCUGCUGGUUGUACUUUUGACCGCUUCUCAUGACAGAAUUGGUGUGUUUCUACUAAAUUUCUUGUCUUUCUGAUGCAGACUUGUUUCUUAGUCACAGCCCACAGGUUCUAGAUGGGGUUUCAGGCUGUAUACAGUCCCAGUUCCAGCCUGAUUUAGUCAUUUCUUUACCACUUUUGAUGUAUUUUUGGGGUCAUAGUCUGGUUUUAUACAAUAUGGAGCUGAUCCACUUCUUUAUUAUUAUACUAUUAUACUAUAUUUACUUAGCUUAUCGCACCAGUUUCCCUGGCAACAAGACAGCCCCAGAGCAUAAUAAUACCACCACCAUGCUUGACUGUAGGUUUGAUCAUCUUGGGGUCAAAGGCCUCACAUCCUCUCUUUCAAGUUUAUUUCUAGUCAUUGUUGCCAACUAGCUCAAGUUUUCUUUCAUGUGACCAUAGCACUUUUGUCCAGAAGGCCUUGUCUUUGUCCUUUGUUCUUUGUUCUUCAGUUGAGCCUUAAUGUGUUAUUUCUAGGAAGGACUUCCUUCUUGCCUGGCAGCCUCACUUGAUUCUGGACACUGAAAUCUAUGUUAAAGCAGAUUGUAACUCAUUGCAAACCCACUUUUUUGGUGACUCUUGGUUGAUUCUUGACCAUCCUGACCAGCUGUCUCUCAGCAGCAGGUGAUAAUUUGCACUUUCUUCCUCAUCAUGUCAGUGUACCAUGUGCGGUUUUCCUACAAAUAAUUGUUUGAACAUACAGUUUUGGGAUCUGUAGCCGCUUUGAAAUGGCAUCAAAUUGCUGUAUGUAUGUUUUUGACCAAGCAGGCUUUAUCAUAUUUUGUCAUCUAGCGGCUGUUUUUGUGCUGUUAAAUACUUCAUUGAUGGCCAAACUAUUAGGCUAUCACAAAUCCUGUUAGUAACUGAAGCCAGUCUUAUUUGGAUAUAUUCAAAUGUUAUUUUCUACAAUAUGAUCCAGGUGUUUUAUAUCAAUUGCUGUUUAUUAAAUAGCUCUCACUUGACAGAGUAGCUGGAUUAAGAGGAUGACUAACUUAUCCAGGUUGUAAUCCCAUUACUUAGAUCUAGCCUUACCUUGUGCUUUGUAAUGGACUUAGUCUUGCAUCUCACCAGUGUUUUACAUGCUCAUUAACCACAGAGGUCUCACUGCAGGUAUGUUUAUUAAUAAUAUUUGUUAUAUUUAUUAGCUAUAUGGUCUGUUUUAUGGCUUUAAUACAUAUUCAAGAGUAAAUCUUUGGUCUAACUAUGUGAAAAUACGCUACACUGACUCUGUCCAACUAUGAUGUUUCAGAGUUUUGAGAACCUUGUGGUCGUACAAGAAAGAAAUAAUCGGUCACUAACUGGUUGUCGUUCUGUCCUUCCAGGUGAUCUCUGCCCUGAACCAGAUGUUGUUUUAGCUGUGACAACUCAGACUUCAUUUCUUCAGUGAAAUGCUGCUCAGUAGAGAAACCAAAGAACUACAGACUCUUCACAACCUGCUCAAACUCUUGGUACAGGACCUCUCCACACGGGUCAAGAAGGUUUCCUUCUCAUUUCUACUCUGAAGCUCACCUUCUCCUGCUCAAACUGCUGACAAAUGUUUCUGCUGCUCUAAAGUCUGGUCUCCAGAACUUCCUAAAAACUCUCAAAGUCUCUUCUGCUGCAGGUUGCUUUGUAGAACUGUUCCAGAAAACCUCACUUAAACCACAUGGAGGGGCCUCAAGAUAGUUGUCCAAAUGAAACCGUACAAAAACCAAACUAGCACAACCCAAACACUAAAGUCUCCUGUAGCCUACCAGAGAAGCUCAUUAAACAGAGAAUCAGGACAGGAACUCUUACCUUCUGGACAACCAACAUUGGUUCACAAACAAGAAUAUGGGCCUAAAACAUUUACACUGUAAAGUAUCUCUGAAUAAAUCUAAAUCUGUCCAAAAAGUGGAAAAACAAUUUCUCAGUUUUUGUUAGCCGUUUGUGAAAUUAAAUGUUCACUCACAUCCUGUGCAUCUCCUGGGGGCUAAGCGCCCCUGUCCUUAAAACCUAGUGACGCCCCUGGUUUGACUCCACUUGUCCCCUCAGAGGGAAGGAUUACUGCAAAUCAAUAUAAAGUUGUUCUGAGUGAUCAUCUUAAUCCUACGAUUAAAUAUUUUUGUCCUGAUCCUUCCAGGCCAACAAGUCCACCAGGGGUCAGCGAAGAGUUUGAUGAGAGUGAAAGCAAUGAGAAUCAUUUUCCAUGACUUUUGUAGUCACCAAAUCCAAACUUGGAUAAACUCCUGUUGAAAAUAUUGAGCUGAUGUGUUAGGCCGUGCUCUGUACAACAUCAUUAAAACACCAAAUUGCAGAAUAUCAUUUGAAAGAAUGGCGUUCCAAUCCUCCAGUAAAGUUUGAGAGACUCAGUGCCCAUGUACCUUGAAGUUGUUCUGGCCCAACACCUUAUUUAAGACUCUACGCUGAUUUUUCCUUUAAAUUGUCACCUGACAGUAUCUCAACAGCUAUUGUAUAGAUUAUCAUGAAUCUUCAAGGAAAAACAUUUGUAAUCUACAGAGGAUGAAUCCAGCUCUGCCUUUAGAGAUCCCCCUUCUUUUCUUUUAGUACCUACAAAAGGUUUACAUUUGUGGACUUUUUGUGAAAUGUAUCAGCAGCUAUUGGAUGCCGGAGUAUCUAUCUAUCUAUCUAUCUAUCUAUCUAUCUAUCUAUCUAUCUAUCUAUCCAUCUAUCUAUCUCUCUCUCUCUAUCUAUUGUCUGCCCAUCCAUCGUCCGUCCUCCAUUUAUCUGUCCGUCUAUCUGUCCGUCCGUCGAUCUAACGUCCGUCCGUCCAUCCAUCCAUCCAUCCACAGUUGUGAUCAUAUACAUGGACAUAAACUGUACUUGAUAAAAGGUUUAAACUAUUAUAAGACCAAUGAAAAUACUUUUUCUUCCCCAUCUUUUUUAACCCUGCUUCUUUGUCUAUCACUGCUCCUCCACCUUCCUUUGUGCCUCCAUCGUCUGCAUACCGUACUCUUCUCUGUAUCUCAUUCAUAAUGGAAGCGCUUCAAAAGCCGUGUUUUUACCGAUUUAUUUUUUGUAUGUGUGUUUAUGUCUCUGCGCAUGCACAUGUAUGAAUGUAUGUAUUCUGACCUACUUCAGGGAGCGGCAAUGCUGGAUGCCGCUGAAGGGAAUUUUAAGAGGAUCUCACAUCAGCGGAGCAAUCACACGAUUAAACCGUGCUGCAUUCAAUGUUUUGCCUCGCUAAGUCUUUUGACAGUUGAUUACACAUAAAGAAAGGAUUAUGUUCACUAAAAAAAAGUUGGUUGACCACAAGAUUGUUGUUCUACGUGCAAAAUGUACUGGGGAAGAAUGCAUGUCUUUUUGUGUAUUUUUAUGCAAAUGGAGCAGACGGAUAUUCAACCCAUGCUUCAUUAUAUCUUUGACUAUA